AUUGAACGCUGGCGGCAUGCCUUACACAUGCAAGUCGAACGGCAGCACGGGUGCUUGCACCUGGUGGCGAGUGGCGAACGGGUGAGUAAUACAUCGGAACAUGUCCUGUAGUGGGGGAUAGCCCGGCGAAAGCCGGAUUAAUACCGCAUACGAUCUACGGAUGAAAGCGGGGGACCUUCGGGCCUCGCGCUAUAGGGUUGGCCGAUAGCUGAUUAGCUAGUUGGUGGGGUAAAGGCCUACCAAGGCGACGAUCAGUAGCUGGUCUGAGAGGACGACCAGCCACACUGGAACUGAGACACGGCCCAGACUCCUACGGGAGGCAGCAGUGGGGAAUUUUGGACAAUGGGCGAAAGCCUGAUCCAGCAAUGCCGCGUGCGUGAAGAAGGCCUUCGGGUUGUAAAGCACUUUUGUCCGGAAAGAAAACCUUGGCUCUAAUACAGUCGGGGGAUGACGGUACCGGAAGAAUAAGCACCGGCUAACUACGUG
This 486-nucleotide ribosomal RNA is filed under the name uncultured bacterium. RNAcentral's name for it is "partial 16S ribosomal RNA". It matches the Rfam family "Bacterial small subunit ribosomal RNA", at positions 30 to 507 of the family's 1533-position model. The record is from RNAcentral.